UACGUAGGGUGCGAGCGUUGUCCGGAAUUACUGGGCGUAAAGCGCACGUAGGCGGCUUGGCAAGUCGGAUGUGAAAGCCCUCGGCUCAACCAAGGAAGUGCAUCCGAAACUGCUGAGCUUGAGUACUUAAGAGGAUCGCGGAAUUCCCGGUGUAGAGGUGAAAUUCGUAGAUAUCGGGAGGAACACCAGUGGCGAAGGCGGCGAUCUGGGAAGAUACUGACGCUGAGGUGCGAAAGCGUGGGGAGCAAACAGG
RNAcentral lists this ribosomal RNA (253 nucleotides) under uncultured bacterium. Its description in RNAcentral is "partial 16S ribosomal RNA". It matches the Rfam family "Bacterial small subunit ribosomal RNA", at positions 524 to 776 of the family's 1533-position model. The record is from RNAcentral.